CUGCUGUUUUCUGUCAUUCGAGCUGCCUUGAAAAAAGCUUGGAAAACGGGAGCCAGAGCAGAAGUAAAUAUUAAGAUUGAAAUUGAUUUAGAAAACGAAAUAAAUCCUCGAGGUUGAACUACAUUGAAAUUUAGACGACACCUGUUGUAAAACGAAGUUAUCUCGUUGGUUUACAGUGGAUUAAAAAAAACAGUCUGGCUAUCUACAAUAGCAGUGGAUGUUACCACACAGACCGUUUUUUUUAGGCUUCUUCUGGUCACGGAUCCCUGGUGUUCUUUCCACCGAAGCUGGAUUCCUCUCUUUUUGCCCUGGUGCCUGGUUCCCUGGUCCACUGCCUCAACUAACAGCGCUGCAAUGGUUCCAUUGGGUGGUUUGAUAUGGAUGCUGAGUAUUGAAGGGGUGGUUGGACAGUUAAAAUAUUUGAGUGCACUCAAGGGUAACAAUUUUUUUCUUUGAAGGAUUUUCCCUUUUGUUUUGUUUCAUGAGAUCUCAAAAGUUGUGCCCGAUUUGUUAACAUCAGUGGUACUAAUGCUAUGUGAACUGAACUAAAUAUUGAAUGUUGAA
Molecule: long non-coding RNA, 564 nt
Organism: Carassius auratus (goldfish)
Lineage: Eukaryota; Metazoa; Chordata; Actinopteri; Cypriniformes; Cyprinidae
Exons: 2
Source: RefSeq, a predicted model, not a curated record